GGCAGUUCUCGGUUGACGCACCCCGGAAUCGGGCUCCCUCCUCUCUGGUUCCAGGUGCAUCACCCAAGAACUGCA
Non-coding RNA from Myotis brandtii (Brandt's bat), 75 nucleotides. NCBI's taxonomy places the organism in Eukaryota, Metazoa, Chordata, Mammalia, Chiroptera, Vespertilionidae. The record is from Rfam.